CAAUUUCUGGAAUCGGUGUAGACAGGACGUGCACCACCUUCAACGUUGUCAACAUGAAAUGCAUCUUCUUCUGCCAAUGCCUGAAGUCUUGUCCUUGAAACUUGUCCAAUUUUCCGAAACUUUUAGUCAUCUCCUUGACGGUGUUUCCUCCUCCAGCCAUGAUUAUCAGAAAAAAUACUUUGUUCGUUUGUUAGAAAUACGGUAUGAUAAUCCU
This 214-nucleotide long non-coding RNA is filed under the name Trifolium pratense (red clover). RNAcentral's name for it is "long non-coding RNA (TPRA_LNC010830)". The record is from RNAcentral. Lineage: Eukaryota; Viridiplantae; Streptophyta; Magnoliopsida; Fabales; Fabaceae.